UUGAUUGGAUUUUUUUCUUUGUUAUUAAGUAAGUUUAGUCACAUAACAUGAGAUUGGGAUUUAACAUUUGCUCUUUUGAUGGACUUUAUUUCUUACAAAUAUUUUUGAUUCUCCAUUUUAUAAUCCUUGUGUUUGAUUAAACCUUUGUGAUUUGAUGUGCCCUAGAUCCUGAAAGGCUUUACUUCAAAUGCUUCUAGACAGAUAUUGGCAUGAAUGAAAGAGGAGUCUUGGGUUCUUAUUAAGCAUAGUAAUUGAUGUUUUGAUUGAUGUCUUUGUGGUUUCGUCUCUUUUCUAAGUGUGGCUUAUGUUUUUUUUAUUUUUUAUUAUUAUUCAGUUUUUUUUUAUUAUGUGGCUUUAUCUUUUAUUUUUUAAAUAAAUUUAAAAAAAAAACAAUUUUGUUUUUGUUUUCAAACAUAGUGUAGUUUUAUGCUUCUUAUUUAAUUGUGCAGUUAGGCUUUGCUUUAUGUUACUAAGAUGGACACAUGAUAAAUUGAAUCUGAGGAUUGCAGUGUCAUUAUCAAUCCUGCUAGUUGUAGACUUGUGGCACAACUGAUUUUUUCCUCUUAUUUUUGCCUUUAUAUAUGCUCCCUUAUACUCUUUCCUUGCCCUUUGGAUUUCCUGACAAAAAGGGGGAGAGAUGAUUGUGUGAAAUUAUAAUAAAAAGGGGGAGAGAUUGUGUUGUAGAAUUAAGGGGGAGUGGUGUUGUAAUUUUGCCUUGAAUUACAUUUCUU
Molecule: long non-coding RNA, 731 nt
Filed under: Prunus persica (peach)
Lineage: Eukaryota; Viridiplantae; Streptophyta; Magnoliopsida; Rosales; Rosaceae
Description: long non-coding RNA (PPER_LNC004908)
Source: RNAcentral